Vigna radiata var. radiata (mung bean) is the source of this 1320-nucleotide long non-coding RNA. RefSeq lists it as uncharacterized. Lineage: Eukaryota; Viridiplantae; Streptophyta; Magnoliopsida; Fabales; Fabaceae. The transcript is spliced from 4 exons. The record is from RefSeq and is a predicted model, not a curated record.
AAUGAGAACUAUACUGAAAUUUUUAAGAUGGUGAACCACGACACAUUGACAUAAUAAAAAAUAGUCACCGAACCAGGAACAUCACCGUUGCUGAAUAAUAGAAUUUAAAUGAUUGUAUUUAUGCACAGAAAAUAAAAGAAGAAUAAAUGGUUACAUACAGAACACGAUAGCACUCAGCAUACUCCUUUAGGUCGGUGGAAAAUAUGACGUGAGAGAUAAGAGCACCCCUCUCUUUCAGUAUCUUGAACAUUUCAUCAAAUAAAGCCGACCAGAAUUGUCAGAAGGUCACUAGAGCAGCUUCCUCCAUGUAACAGUUUCUAUUUCUCAUACAACAUACAGAGAUGCUGCUGGGCAUGACAAUCCCAGAUAAAUAUCCUGCAUUUCCUAUUAAACAAAUCAAAUUAUAUUCACAUCUGGUAUGUAUGUACAUACAGGCUAAUUGCUACGCAAAGCUGGUAAGCUCUAAACGAUACAUGAUUAUAUAUACAGCAGCACAAUAACAUAGUUCCACACUAUGGAACAGAGCAACAGUUAGUGCUGAUUCCUAGCCGCAAAUUGUGCUUAACAACUGGCCACCAAUUCCACGACAACCACUAUUGCUUCGCAGGUUCUGGUGUAUCUAGCUGACGUAUUUUAACUUGCUGAUCGAAGCCUGUUCGUUUUAUGGAGUGGAGGUUGCUCCAGCAUUCCAUGUGAUGUGUCAUUUGAUUUAAUGUUGAGAGUGUUCUUAACAAGUCGAUGAGCUGCUUCUCCCAGUUGAUAUCCAGCGAUGGCUCCAGAUACUCGUGGCCUGUGGGAUGCAUCAUAUACAGAAUGGUCAGGCAAAUCAAGUAUCUCCAAUAGAAUAAUGACAGGUUCCAUGCAUCAAGAAAACUAGUACACUAUGGGAUGCUGCUCUUAGGACGAAAUACCAUUUAUAAGAAACAUGCAAAGAAUUAUUUAUUGGCCUCUACACAGGUUGAUGGUAGUUCGAUGAUGGUGGCAACACAAUCUGGCGGUCUUAUCGCCAUACGGUUUCAUGGUAGAAGAGGGUGGUUGCAUGAGAAUGGUGCUACUCGAAGGUUGAAGGAGGACAGUGGUCUACGGUGGUGUUCACGAGGUUCUUGUGAGUGCGAUUUAGUUUCUGAUGGAAAAAAAAAUUGCGAGAUUAAUUUGCGAAUUUGGUGUUUUCAUGGUUGACAAUUUAAUGUUUCUAAAAAUUGGAAAAAUAGGAAUUCUGAAAAUUAGAGAUUUAGGAUUUGCUGCAAGUAAUGAAAGAUUUUUGGUUGAUGGAAGAUAGAAGGAGUUAUCACACCAAAUUGAAACCAAUUUCACCAAAUU